This 497-nucleotide ribosomal RNA is filed under the name uncultured bacterium. RNAcentral describes it as "partial 16S ribosomal RNA". It matches the Rfam family "Bacterial small subunit ribosomal RNA", at positions 28 to 507 of the family's 1533-position model. The record is from RNAcentral.
GAUGAACGCUGGCGGCGUGCCUAAUACAUGCAAGUCGAGCGAACGGACGAGAAGCUUGCUUCUCUGAUGUUAUCGGCGGACGGGUGAGUAACACGUGGAUAACCUACCUAUAAGACUGGGAUAACUUCGGGAAACCGGAGCUAAUACCGGAUAAUAUUUUGAACCGCAUUGUUCAAAAGUUAAAUGCGGUCUUGCUGUCACUUAUAGAUGGAUCCGCGCUGCAUUAGCUAGUUGGUAAGGUAACGGCUUACCAAGGCAACGAUGCAUAGCCGACCUGAGAGGGUGGUCGGCCAGACUGGAACUGAGACACGGUCCAGACUCCUACGGGAGGCAGCAGUAGGGAAUCUUACGCAAUGGGCGAAAGCCUGACGGAGCAACGCCGCGUGAGUGAUGAAGGUCUUCGGAUCGGAAAACUCUGUUAGUAGGGAAGAACAAAUGUGUAAGUAACUGUGCACAUCUUGACGGUACCUAAUCAGAAAGCCACGGCUAACUACGUG